This 275-nucleotide ribosomal RNA is filed under the name uncultured bacterium. RNAcentral's name for it is "partial 16S ribosomal RNA". It matches the Rfam family "Bacterial small subunit ribosomal RNA", at positions 338 to 623 of the family's 1533-position model. The record is from RNAcentral.
CCUACGGGUGGCUGCAGUCGAGAAUCUUCGGCAAUGGGCGCAAGCCUGACCGAGCGAUGCCGCGUGCGGGAUGAAGGCCUUCGGGUUGUAAACCGCUGUCGUAGGGGAGCAAGGGGAAACCUUGAGCGAUCCUAGGAGGAAGGACGGGCUAAGUUCGUGCCAGCAGCCGCGGUAAUACGAACCGUCCAAACGUUAUUCGGAAUCACUGGGCUUAAAGAGUCCGUAGGCGGCUCAGUAAGUAGGGUGUGAAAUCCCACGGCUCAACCGUGGAACUG